CCUGUGUGUGUGUGUGUGUGUGUAUGUGCACGCGCGCGCACGCACACACACACACACACACACACACACACACACACACACACACGCAU
This 89-nucleotide microRNA precursor is filed under the name Myotis lucifugus (little brown bat). RNAcentral describes it as "miRNA (ENSMLUG00000024072.1)". The record is from RNAcentral. Lineage: Eukaryota; Metazoa; Chordata; Mammalia; Chiroptera; Vespertilionidae.